Molecule: ribosomal RNA, 269 nt
Filed under: uncultured prokaryote
Description: partial 16S ribosomal RNA
Rfam family: Bacterial small subunit ribosomal RNA
Source: RNAcentral
CACGGGAGGGGCAAGCGUUGUUCGGAAUCAUUGGGCGUAAAGGGCGUGUAGGCGGUUACGUAAGUCUGGUGUGAAAUAUCUCGGCUCAACCGAGAAGAUGCGCUGGAAACUGUGUAACUAGAGUGAUGGAGGGGGAACUGGAAUUCCAGGUGUAGGGGUGAAAUCUGUAGAUAUCUGGAAGAACACCGGUGGCGAAGGCGAGUUCCUGGCCAUAUACUGACGCUGAGGCGCGAAAGCGUGGGGAGCGAACAGGAUUAGAUACCCCCGUA